Asparagus officinalis (garden asparagus) is the source of this 1542-nucleotide long non-coding RNA. RefSeq lists it as uncharacterized. Lineage: Eukaryota; Viridiplantae; Streptophyta; Magnoliopsida; Asparagales; Asparagaceae. The record is from RefSeq and is a predicted model, not a curated record. The transcript is spliced from 2 exons.
GAAACUCCUAAUCAACCAUAACAUUUCACAAUUAAACGAUACCAUUGAUAUCUUGACCAUUUUCAUAAGAAAUCUCUUACCACUGGUGAAUGGAGUGAAGUGUCAACUAGCAAGGAGUGACAUCUUUUUUUAUUAACUUAUUCAUGAGGUUGAUGUCUAAGCCUUAGAGUAAGGAAUAUUUUUCUUCUUAAGUCCUACUAUAUUAUAAAAGUUAAUGAUUGUUUGCUCUUUGUUUUUUAAAUUACUUUAUGCAAUUGUUUUGGCUACCAUGUGCGAGCAGGUAAAGCGGGAAAAAAAAAGUUUAUACAGUGGAUACACGCAUAAACAUGGAACUAAUGUAUUGUACUCUCAUCUGUAUGUCGCAUCUAAGUUUCUUACCUAUGUCAUCAACAGCACUUGUCUGUCACCCAAAUCAUUGUUAGAUUGUAAAUUAGCUAAUUUAAUCUGAUUUUGGUUGAGAUUCAUUUUACAUUUACUCAGUUGUCAGUCUGAAUGGGGUUCCAUAUAUAUGUGUGAGCUAAAAUCGUAAUGCAUAAGUCAGUCUGUUUCCAGGUUGCUUAAGCAGUAUCAGAUGUGACCACGAUGCACAAACUCAUACAUGGUAAAAGGCAGCUUCCUAUAUGCAUGAAUUUCUCUAAUGUUCCACGGAUAUUAUAAAAGUUAGUAUCUAAUAAUCAUUUCUAUCGAUAUAGAUACCUUCUUCUGUCUGUUUAUUUUGACAUCGUACCACAAACAAGUUGUUGCGAUGUGCGUAUUUUUAUUUAUUUAUUUAUGAAACAAUACAAUUGAAUUUUUAGGUAUAUUCUAGUUUAAAACAGAUUACAUUUUUAUUGUUGGGCAGGCAGUUUUUUGUUAUUGGAUCACAUCAAACCUUUUUUCCCUUGUUUAUGGCGCCGUUCUCAAGCGCAAAAUAGUAAGGAAAUUCCUGAAUCUCCCUGAUAUAACUCGGUCUUCUAAUUCUGCACCUGCCUCUUCAGUUUGGGGUGUGAAGAACCCUAAACCCUAAUUCUGGUUCUAGUUCCUAUUCUUCUUCUGCUGCAUUGCCAGCUUCAGGAUCUGAGCCGAUCAAGGCAGAUCGCAGAAUUUCUUCAUCUUCUGUUAUGAGCCAGCGAUAAGAAAACCUAGAAAAGCAAGUGAAAGGUAGAAACAAAAACAAGAAAAGGUGACAAAUGUCUGGGACUAGCUAGCAAUUGGUCAGUUAUGUAGAAGAACAAUCUUUCAGUGGCUAAUUUUCUGAUCUGACGCACGAAAAGCAAUUUUUAGUCGGAUGAGACUGUCGACAUGUAACCCAGUAUAGAUCAUGGUAUGUUCUUUAGCACUCAAAUUGUAUGAGCUGCGUCCAGGAGGAGAUUAUGUUCCCGGAUUUUUACUGAAUGCCCCUUUAGUCUUUUCUAAUGUUACUGAUAUUUUAAAAUAUGCUCUCUCACUGUUUGAUUUUCCUGUUUCUUUUUGUUGUUUUAAGAGCUGCGAAAGGGGUUGUUGGGACCUGUAAUGUAUUCUUUGAACAUUUCUCUAGUAUUUAAUUGGUUAAAUUGGUGAAAA